This 355-nucleotide ribosomal RNA is filed under the name Orussus abietinus. RNAcentral's name for it is "partial 16S ribosomal RNA". The record is from RNAcentral. Lineage: Eukaryota; Metazoa; Arthropoda; Insecta; Hymenoptera; Orussidae.
AUAAUCAAUAGUUCUUUAAUUGGGAACUUGUAUGAAGGAUUGAACGAGAUAGUAACUUUCUAUAAAUAAUUGAAUGUUGAAUUUAAUUUUUAGAUUAAAAAGUCUAAAUUUAAUUAAAAGACGAUAAGACCCUAUAGAAUUUAAUAAUUACAAUAAUUUGAUAUUAAGGUUGAUAUAAUUUAGUUAAAUUAAUAUAAUUAUUUUAUUGGGGAGAUAUUAAGAUUAAAAUAACUCUUAAUUUUUCUAAUCAAUAAUUUUUGAUAAAAUUGAUCCUGUCCUACAGAAUUAAGAACAAAUUACCUUAGGGAUAACAGCGUAAUUCUUUUUGAAAGUUCAUAUUAAUAAAAGAGUUUGC